Molecule: ribosomal RNA, 836 nt
Filed under: uncultured bacterium
Lineage: Bacteria
Description: bacterial SSU rRNA
Rfam family: Bacterial small subunit ribosomal RNA
Source: RNAcentral
CGAGAGAUGAAGAGCUUGCUCUUCAAAUCGAGUGGCGAACGGGUGAGUAACGCGUGAGGAACCUGCCUCAAAGAGGGGGACAACAGUUGGAAACGACUGCUAAUACCGCAUAAGCCCACGGAUCCGCAUGGAUCUGCGGGAAAAGGAUUUAUUCGCUUCAGGAUGGACUCGCGUCCAAUUAGCUAGUUGGUGAGGUAACGGCCCACCAAGGCGACGAUUGGUAGCCGGACUGAGAGGUUGAACGGCCACAUUGGGACUGAGACACGGCCCAGACUCCUACGGGAGGCAGCAGUGGGGGAUAUUGCACAAUGGGGGAAACCCUGAUGCAGCGACGCCGCGUGGAGGAAGAAGGUUUUCGGAUUGUAAACUCCUGUCGUUAGGGACGAUAAUGACGGUACCUAACAAGAAAGCACCGGCUAACUACGUGCCAGCAGCCGCGGUAAAACGUAGGGUGCAAGCGUUGUCCGGAAUUACUGGGUGUAAAGGGAGCGCAGGCGGACCGGCAAGUUGGAAGUGAAAACUAUGGGCUCAACCCAUAAAUUGCUUUCAAAACUGCUGGCCUUGAGUAGUGCAGAGGUAGGUGGAAUUCCCGGUGUAGCGGUGGAAUGCGUAGAUAUCGGGAGGAACACCAGUGGCGAAGGCGACCUACUGGGCACCAACUGACGCUGAGGCUCGAAAGCAUGGGUAGCAAACAGGAUUAGAUACCCUGGUAGUCCAUGCCGUAAACGAUGAUUACUAGGUGUUGGAGGAUUGACCCCUUCAGUGCCGCAGUUAACACAAUAAGUAAUCCACCUGGGGAGUACGACCGCAAGGUUGAAACUCAAAGGAAUUGACGG